Molecule: long non-coding RNA, 907 nt
Organism: Folsomia candida
Lineage: Eukaryota; Metazoa; Arthropoda; Collembola; Entomobryomorpha; Isotomidae
Exons: 2
Source: RefSeq, a predicted model, not a curated record
UAUGCUUUCAUUUUCAUUUUGCACUUCGAUGUACGCUGUCGACCAUGAGUUGACAGUAUUUAGUACGCAACGUAUGCAUACACAGAUACGCAACGCAAUCUGAGUGGCUCCCAGAAUGACGAGACGAUUUCAAUUUAUUUUUCGUAAAUUCGUGUAAUCCUCUGCAUACGUUCAGUUAUUUCGCUGCUGGAUCUUUACAUGCGGGACGAAUCGAAGCUGCUUUAAUCCAUCCGAGUUCUGGAUUUUUAAAAAAAGUCAAGUUUUCCUCAAUUAUUUUGAAGGUUGUGUGACGACGGAUUUCGCAUUUUUGGCUGCAUUACGAUAAUGAAUUCGUGAGAAAUCAGUUAUGUGAAUUAUGCAUCAGUGUGUUGCAUGACUUUGUGUUGCUUGCACAUAGUUCCUGAAAUUCUGGAUUAAGCGGUCACUCGACUAUAAAAGUUGCCUUUAUUGGAUACUAUAAUAAUGGGUCUCAAAUUCGAGAUCUUGGUAGCAAUGAUCUCAUUUUGCAUAGCCCUUGCUGUGUCGGCUCCACCAGAGCAACAUAAGACUGGACUUCCUUCACGGAGCAGUGAGCUACUACAUCCAAGAACGGAGAAUCAAGUGCAGGGGACAAUCAAUGGAGCCACGCUUCCUUUGGGGUCGGAAAAUGAAUUCAGAUCGUACAUAAUGUCCACACCUCCCUAUCACGACUUGGAGUCCCAGCUCCAAAGCCCUCGUGUGAUUUUGUAAUUCCUAGUAACUCAACUAUGUCGGGACUUCUAUAACUCAUGUAUAGCACUAUUUUAUACAAGUCACCUUCGUCAAAUCUAAAUAAUAUCACUUCUUGGAUAUUUUUAAUGCGUAGUCAGAUAUGAAUAGUUUCCUUAUUCCAAAAACUAAAGAAUUAAAACGAGUCCAAUCAAUUAUA